Long non-coding RNA from Contarinia nasturtii (swede midge), 464 nucleotides. RefSeq lists it as uncharacterized. The record is from RefSeq and is a predicted model, not a curated record. NCBI's taxonomy places the organism in Eukaryota, Metazoa, Arthropoda, Insecta, Diptera, Cecidomyiidae. The transcript has 2 exons.
UUAAUAAGAUCUUCUUCUCCAACUAAAACAAGCUUAAGCAAACAUACAAGAGCUGCGCCUUUUUCAACGAAUCGUCUUCUUUUUCCCAAUACGAGCUGGCGCAUUUUUGGUCUUGAAACCAUGGUUUAAAAAAAAUCGAAUUUCAAAAUUGUCCCCCAAAAAUCUAGGGGGUAUUUUCGAGUCAUUUUCCAGAAGGGGAUAAUUUGGACCCUCGUCAAAAGCUAUGCUUCAAUGUGAAAUAGAUAUUAGUUUAUCCACAAAUGAUUGAUAAAAACUUAGAAAAUAUUAUGCGCAUCACAAUUUCGAUGUCUUAUUUUUUCAGAUACCACCACAACCAUCUCAAACAAUUAAUAUCUGAGUCAUUUAUUUUAACAAAUCAAACUGAACGAAUGUAAUGUAUAAAUUUAAUUGGUAAAUCGAUCUAGAAAUAGAUACAAUAAAUAAAUAAGCACAAUUGAUAUGUA